This 253-nucleotide ribosomal RNA is filed under the name uncultured bacterium. Its description in RNAcentral is "partial 16S ribosomal RNA". It matches the Rfam family "Bacterial small subunit ribosomal RNA", at positions 524 to 776 of the family's 1533-position model. The record is from RNAcentral.
UACGUAGGGGGCAAGCGUUGUCCGGAAUCAUUGGGCGUAAAGCGCGUGUAGGCGGUCCGGUAAGUCCGCUGUGAAAGUCGGGGGCUCAACCCUCGGAUGCCGGUGGAUACUGUCGGGCUUGAGUACGGAAGAGGCGAGUGGAAUUCCUGGUGUAGCGGUGAAAUGCGCAGAUAUCGUAAGGAAGACCAGUGGCGAAGGCGGAGACCUGGGCCAAUACUGACGCUGAGGUGCGAAAGCGUGGGGAGCAAACAGG